Molecule: ribosomal RNA, 403 nt
Filed under: uncultured bacterium
Lineage: Bacteria
Description: bacterial SSU rRNA
Rfam family: Bacterial small subunit ribosomal RNA
Source: RNAcentral
AUUGAACGCUGGCGGCAUGCUUUACACAUGCAAGUCGAGCGGCAGCGCGGGGCUUUGGGCAACUGAAGUUUUGGGCGGCGAGCGGCGAACGGGUGAGUAACACAUCGGAACGUACCGACAAGUGGGGGAUAGCUCGGCGAAAGCCGGAUUAAUACCGCAUAUGCUGUGCGCAGGAAAGCUGGGGCUCUGUGAGGACCUGGUGCUUGUUGAGCGGCCGAUGUCUGAUUAGCUAGUUGGUGGGGUAAAGGCCUACCAAGGCGACGAUCGGUAGCUGGUCUGAGAGGAUGAUCAGCCACACUGGGACUGAGACACGGCCCAGACUCCUACGGGAGGCAGCAGUGGGGAAUUUUGGACAAUGGGGCAACCCUGAUCCAGCCCAUGCCGCGUGAGUGAAGAAGGCCUU